GGUUUCCGUAGGUGAACGUGCGGAAGGAUCAUUA
This 34-nucleotide ribosomal RNA is filed under the name Ascomycota sp. Js_3687/1. RNAcentral's name for it is "partial 18S ribosomal RNA". Lineage: Eukaryota; Fungi; Ascomycota. The record is from RNAcentral.